RNAcentral lists this long non-coding RNA (1028 nucleotides) under Homo sapiens (human). RNAcentral's name for it is "non-protein coding lnc-CBLB-3:5". Lineage: Eukaryota; Metazoa; Chordata; Mammalia; Primates; Hominidae. The record is from RNAcentral.
UUGAGAAUGAAGCUCAGCUGAAGUUUGAACAGCAUACUGACAUAUACCAACAAGAAUGAAAAUAACUUAACAGCAAUUUUAUAAAUUCACAUCCCCCAGAGCACCACAGAGUAAAGAAAUACUGCAUAUGGGUAACAACUGGUUCUUAGUUACUAAAUCUGAAAGAUCAAAUACAGUUAAUUACAUAAGCUUCUCUUGAGUUUUUCUGGGGGAAUAUACCAGGAGACCAUAAUCAAGCAUCACCAGUGGCAUUUCAUACUGGUCCCAUGGUGUUAAUCCAGGUUUCUGGUAUUGCACUAAACACGAUGAAAAACAGGAGAGAACGGAGAGGGAUCAUGUUUUACCACAAUAUGCAAUUUAUGGGAGAGAUGAAGCGCUCAGGUGGAGAUGACUAGUGUCACGUGGUGUUUUAAGUGGAUACUCACAACGCUGGAACUCACAGCAAUAACAACAAGAGGUGAGAUUAAUAUUUACUCAGUGAACUUUGAGUAAAGCAUUGGGUGCUUCAUUAUGUGGAGGAGUCUCAUCCAAUCAGUUGAAGGUGACUGAAUGGAACUAUAGAUCGACCUCACAUAAAUGAGAGGGAAUUCUGCAACAGAUCAUCUUUGCCUUUGAACUGCAGCAUGGACUCCCCUCUGGGUCUCCUGCCUGCCAGCCCACCCUGCAGAGUGCAUUUGCCAGCCUCCACAAUCAGGUAAUUUAUCCUGUGCAUUAACAAGAGGAAGUCUAGAGCCAUGGAAACCAAGUCAGGAAACUUCUCUCUUAUUAUUAGGUCCACUGCAAAUCUAGUUGAGACUGCAAAUCGAGGUUUUUCUCAGGGGAAGCCGAGCUCCAGACUAUUCAUUUGUCCUGAGGCAGCCACUUGAAACACAAUCAUUUUGUAUUUCUACGAUGUUUUGACCUUUUAUCCAAGUCAGCCCUAUAGAAUGGGCCAGGAGGUUGCUGCCACUGAAUAAGCCACUGUGAUUUUUAGCGUCAAGAAUUUUGCUGUUAACUAUGGCAGAAAAAUAGACAGAGGACAAUAAAAA